This 300-nucleotide ribosomal RNA is filed under the name uncultured bacterium. RNAcentral describes it as "bacterial SSU rRNA". It matches the Rfam family "Bacterial small subunit ribosomal RNA", at positions 775 to 1067 of the family's 1533-position model. The record is from RNAcentral.
GGAUUAGAUACCCUGGUAGUCCACGCCGUAAACGAUGAGUGCUAGCUGGUGGGUAUGUCUACCUGCUUACCGGCGCAGUUAACGCAUUAAGCACUCCGCCUGGGAAGUACGGCCGCAAGGCUAAAACUCAAAGGAAUUGACGGGGGCCCGCACAAGCGGUGGAGCAUGUGGUUUAAUUCGAUGCAACGCGAAGAACCUUACCCAGGCUUGACAUCCUCGGAAGCCUUUCGAAAGAAGGGCGUGCCGAUUCAUUUCGGAACCGAGAGACAGGUGCUGCAUGGCUGUCGUCAGCUCGUGCUG